Molecule: ribosomal RNA, 254 nt
Filed under: uncultured bacterium
Lineage: Bacteria
Description: partial 16S ribosomal RNA
Rfam family: Bacterial small subunit ribosomal RNA
Source: RNAcentral
UACAGAGGCGGCAAGCGUUGUUCGGAAUUAUUGGGCGUAAAGAGCACGUAGGCGGCCUUGUAAGUCAGUUGUGAAAGCCUUCUGCUUAACGGAAGAACAGCAGCUGAUACUGCAAGGCUAGAGUGCGGAAGGGGAGAGUGGAACUUCUGGUGGAGCGGUGAAAUGCGUAGAUAUCAGAAGGAACACCGGCGGCGAAGGCGACUCUCUGGUCCGUAACUGACGCUGAGUGUGCGAAAGCUAGGGGAGCAAACGGG